CCUACGGGCGGCAGCAGUGGGGAAUAUUGCACAAUGGGGGAAACCCUGAUGCAGCGACGCCGCGUGAGUGAAGAAGUAUUUCGUUAUGUAAAGCUCUAUCAGCAGGGAAGAAAAUGACGGUACCUGACUAAGAAGCCCCGGCUAACUACGUGCCAGCAGCCGCGGUAAUACGUAGGGGGCAAGCGUUAUCCGGAUUUACUGGGUGUAAAGGGAGCGUAGACGGCAGCGCAAGUCUGGAGUGAAAGGCGGGGGCUCAACCCCCGGACUGCUCUGGAAACUGUGCGGCUGGAGUGCAGGAGAGGUAAGCGGAAUUCCUGGUGUAGCGGUGAAAUGCGUAGAUAUCAGGAGGAACACCGAGGGCGAAGGCGGCUUACUGGACUGUAACUGACGUUGAGGCUCGAAGGCGUGGGGAGCAAACAGGAUUAGAUACCCGUGUAGUC
Molecule: ribosomal RNA, 440 nt
Filed under: uncultured bacterium
Lineage: Bacteria
Description: partial 16S ribosomal RNA
Rfam family: Bacterial small subunit ribosomal RNA
Source: RNAcentral